AGGGUUUGAUCCUGGCUCAGAACGAACGGUGGCGGUGUGCUUAUUACAUGCAAGUCGAGCGAGAACCGGCUUUUGUCGGGGAGAGCGGCGAAAGGGUGAGUAACGUAUAGAUAACCUGCCCUCAAGAGGGGGAUAACAAUUCGAAAGGGUUGCUAAUACCGCGUACGAUUACUUUAACGCAUGUUAGAGUAAUGGAAGUGGGGGACCUUCGGGCCUCACACUUGAGGAGGGGUCUAUAUCCUAUUAGCUAGUUGGCAGGGUAAGAGCCUACCAAGGCAAUUAUGGGUAGCCGGCCUGAGAGGGUGAUCGGCCACACGGGCACUGAGACACGGGCCCGACUCCUACGGGAGGCAGCAGUAAGGAAUAUUGGGCAAUGGGCGCAAGCCUGACCCAGCGACACCGCGUGGAUGAAGAAGGCUUUCGGGUUGUAAAGUCCUAACACGUAUUAAGAAGGUAACAUGUGUUAAUACCACGAGUUAUCAGACGAAGGUACGAGAUGAAGUCAUGGCUAACUCUGUGCCAGCAGCCGCGGUAAUACAGAGAUGGCGACCGUUGUUCGGAAUUACUGGGCUUAAAGGGCAUGUAGGCGGAAUGUUAAGUUGGUUGUGAAAUCCCAUGGCUUACCCAUGGAACUGCAGCUAAAACUGGCAUUCUUGAGUGCGGUAGGGGGGAGUGGAACUCCUGGUGGAGCGGUGAAAUGUGUUGAUAUCAGGAGGAACGCCGGAGGCGAAAGCGACUCUCUGGACCGCAACUGACGCUGAGGUGCGAAAGCCAGGGGAGCAAACGGGAUUAGAUACCCCGGUAGUCCUGGCCGUAAACGAUGAACACUAGGUAGGGGAGCAUCCCUUCUCUGCUGAAGCAAAAGUAUUAGUGUUCCGCCUGGGGAGUAUGGUCGCAAGGCUGAAACUCAAAGGAAUUGACGGGGGCUCGCACAAGCGGUGGAGCAUGUGGUUUAAUUCGAACCAACGCGAAGAACCUUACCUGGGCUUGACAUACUAGAAUUAGCUGCCUGAAAGGGUGGUGACGCUCUUAGGAGUGGAACUAGUACAGGUGUUGCAUGGCUGUCGUCAGCUCGUGCCGUGAGGUGUUGGGUUAAGUCCCAUAACGAGCGAAACCUUUAUCCUUAGUUGCCAGCGGGUGAAGCCGGGGACUCUAGGGAGACUGCAUACGUUAAGUGUGAGGAAGGUGGAGACGACGUCAAGUCAUCAUGGCCCUUAUGCCCAGGGCUACACACGUGCUACAAUGGCCGGUACAAAGGGAGGCAAUACCGAAAGGUGGAGCGAAUCCCAAAAAGCUGGUCCCAGUUCGGAUUGAGGGCUGCAAUUCGCCCUCAUGAAGUUGGAAUCGCUAGUAAUCGCAGGUCAGCCAUACUGCGGUGAAUGUGUUCCCGAGCCUUGUACACACCGCCCGUCAACCCACCGAAGCAGGGGCAGCCCGAAGUCACUGACCUAACCUUUCGAGGGGGGAGGUGCCCAAGGAAGCUUCUGUGACGGGGACUAAGUCGUAACAAGGUA
Molecule: ribosomal RNA, 1514 nt
Filed under: metagenome
Description: bacterial SSU rRNA
Rfam family: Bacterial small subunit ribosomal RNA
Source: RNAcentral